CUGAAACUUUAGGGGUGCUGACUUUGUCGGCUGAGAUGAUGACCCUUGGAACCUGAUCCGGUUAAUACUGGCGAAGGGAAAAGUUAGAACGCUUCA
Molecule: non-coding RNA, 96 nt
Filed under: Zhouia amylolytica
Lineage: Bacteria; Pseudomonadati; Bacteroidota; Flavobacteriia; Flavobacteriales; Flavobacteriaceae
Also listed under: 1 other name
Description: TPP sequence
Rfam family: TPP riboswitch aptamer (THI element)
About the family: Vitamin B(1) in its active form thiamin pyrophosphate (TPP) is an essential coenzyme that is synthesised by coupling of pyrimidine and thiazole moieties in bacteria.
Source: RNAcentral